UACGUAGGGGGCGAGCGUUGUCCGGAUUUAUUGGGCGUAAAAGGCUUGUAGGUGGCCACGUCAAGUCGGAUGUGAAAUCUCCCGGCUCAACUGGGAGGGGUCAUUCGAUACUGGCGGGCUCGAGGCCGGUAGGGGGAAGCGGAAUUCCCGGUGUAGUGGUGGAAUGCGUAGAUAUCGGGAGGAACACCAGUGGCGAAGGCGACUACCUGGCCUGUUCUUGACGCUGAGGCGCGAAAGCUAGGGGAGCAAACGGGG
This 255-nucleotide ribosomal RNA is filed under the name uncultured bacterium. RNAcentral describes it as "partial 16S ribosomal RNA". It matches the Rfam family "Bacterial small subunit ribosomal RNA", at positions 524 to 777 of the family's 1533-position model. The record is from RNAcentral.